RNAcentral lists this unclassified non-coding RNA (841 nucleotides) under Hevea brasiliensis (rubber tree). The record is from RNAcentral. Lineage: Eukaryota; Viridiplantae; Streptophyta; Magnoliopsida; Malpighiales; Euphorbiaceae.
CUCUCUCUCAGGUCUCCAUAUUCAGUAGACUAAAAAUAAAAAUAAAAAUGGGUUCUGGCAAUAGCAGGUUAGGGUCGAGCCGUUCCAGGUCAGGGCUCAAGCGCAGAUUACUCUCUUCCCUCUUUUGUGGCUCCUCUGUUUCUCACACUCCUAUCCAGAUAGGUGAUCAUAUGGAUUAUUCAUCAACAGAGUCUACUCAAAACUUGACUCAGCAUCAUCAUGUGUCAGUUUGCGCCAAGCAGCAGUCUCCUUCAACCUUUCGACUGGAAACUGGGUUGAAUGAUUUCCACGAUGAAACUGGAAGCAGUAGUGUUUCUGUUGGGGAUACUUCCUUCACACAUAGUUUUAGCAAUCAUUCUGAGAAUUCGGAAUUACAUUCUCAGCAGGUCAAUGUUAAUGACAGUCUCAUUGAAGCUCCUCUAGAUGGUUCUUCCUUAAAAACUCAGCCACCUGCGGAGUCACUCUCUUCUGAUGCACCACUCACAAGCAUUGUGGGUCAGGAUACUGGGAAUCUACAUUCAGAUGGGGAGACCAUAGCAGAUGCGAGUAUGGAUGGCUAUACAGCUGAAUCUAGUUCUGAUGUAUCUGGUUCCUCUAUAAAUUCUCAGCCACUUCCAAGAUCUCUCUUAUUGUCUGGGGAACAAGGUUCAAUAGGCAUGGGCGUGCUUUUGGUUGAUGUGGUGAGUAUACAUUCCAACAUUUUGUCUAGUACCAUUGCAGAAAUUAGUAACCGUGAGGCUAGAAGGAAUACUAGAAGGAUGUUUUGGGAUGCUUUCUCAAGAAACAGUUCUAGGCGGAAUAGUGAUUUCCCAACUGUUGUUUUUACAACUAGUCAUGCUGA